CAUCAUCGAUAUAUAUAUAUAUAUAUAUAGAUUUUCUGAAUAGGGAAUUACACAAAUUUAGAGGAACUUCAACCACAAUGGUAGAAUGAUUGGCAUUACCUAGAGGCCCUUGUAUCAUUCUACGAACAAAAGGUCCACUUAACUCCUCA
Long non-coding RNA from Juglans microcarpa x Juglans regia, 149 nucleotides. RefSeq lists it as uncharacterized. The record is from RefSeq and is a predicted model, not a curated record. NCBI's taxonomy places the organism in Eukaryota, Viridiplantae, Streptophyta, Magnoliopsida, Fagales, Juglandaceae. The transcript is spliced from 3 exons.